Beta vulgaris subsp. vulgaris (sugar beet) is the source of this 1109-nucleotide long non-coding RNA. RefSeq lists it as uncharacterized. The record is from RefSeq and is a predicted model, not a curated record. NCBI's taxonomy places the organism in Eukaryota, Viridiplantae, Streptophyta, Magnoliopsida, Caryophyllales, Amaranthaceae. The transcript has 3 exons.
CGACGUCGACCGCACAUUCGCUUUCGUCGGAGCCGACGACGACGAGCGGUGAGGAAGAGGAACGAAGUCACGAAGAGGAAGCGACGUUGCGAGCCUGCGACGGACUCAGGAGACGAAGAGGAAGCGAUGCUGCGACGCCACGACGGAGUCAGGAGACGAAGCGACACCGCAACUGUCCAUUCUCCGUCGCCGACCUCUCGUGACACUCACUUCAGUCAGUCAGAAAUAAAGACUCUGCCACAAUUCAGCCAUAUCUCUUGCUCCAUCUUGAUAUAUUGUCUGAGGCUGUCAACACAAUAGAGGAUGCACUUCGCCUAUAUUGUGCACCAGAGACAGUCGAAGGUUACCGAGCAUCAAACACUAGUAAGGUACAUAAAGUGUUUUCUUAUGUAAAUUAAAUGGAUCUAGUGCAGGUUUGUCCAUAUGAUGCUAUUGAUGCUCCACGUGUUUGAAAAUAUGUAUGCAUCUGCAGACUCUAAUUCUGCUAACAGGUUGUAGUCUGCUCCUAUUCCCAUAUCCUAGCAUUGUUUGAAGACAUUAAUGUUCUGCCCAGGGGUGGAUCCAGCAUUUUUAAUUUGGUGGGGCACUGUUUUUAAAGUUAAGUCAGGAACACCAUGUUUCUUCACUAAAAGUGUUAUUGGAGUACUCGAUAUACCCUUUCCUGCAAUUUCCUGGGUUGUUGAGUUGAUUGCUUGAGAAACGCUCCUCAUCAACAUCUAUUCUUUGUAUAUAUAUGACCUUUUUCUUAAGAUCUUGUUUCUGAUGUGUGUGUUUCUGAAAAAAUGCAGGAUAUUGAGAGCAGAAAAGGGCCUCAAAGAUUUUUGAUUGAAUUGCGUUCAAGUUGAAGUUUUAUGUUGAAGAUUCAAUGAAGGUUGAAUGUCGGUUGAAGAUGGAAUUUCUACAUAUUUUUUAUUUUUUUUAUUUCCUCUUUUGAAUGUUUGUAUCAAUUCGUCAAAAUUGUUAGUAAUAAGAUUAUACUUCUAGUUUCCUUUAUUAAUUUAUAAUGCUAUUUUUUCCGUUGAUGUAAGAAUGUGCUUGUAACUGUUACUGUACUAAUAACACAAUGUUGACGCUUACAAGUGUCUAUAUAGUAGCUUCAAAUUGCAACA